CCUACGGGAGGCAGCAGUGAGGAAUAUUGGUCAAUGGGCGUAAGCCUGAACCAGCCAAGUCGCGUGAGGGAUGAAGGUUCUAUGGAUCGUAAACCUCUUUUAUAAGGGAAUAAAGUGCGGGACGGUUCCCGUUUUGUAUUUACCUUAUGAAUAAGGAUCGGCUAACUCCGUGCAAGCAGCCGCGGUAAUACGGAGGAUCCGAGCGUUAUCCGGAUUUAUUGGGUUUAACGGGUGCGUAGGCGGCCUUUUAAGUCAGCGGUGAAAGUCUGUGGAUCAACCAUAGAAUUGCCGUUGAAACUGGUUUUCUUGAGUGAGCGAGAAGUAUGCGGAAUGCGUGGUGUAGCGGUGAAAUGCAUAGAUAUCACGCAGAACUCCGAUUGCGAAGGCAGCAUACCGGCGCUCAACUGACGCUCAUGCACGAAAGUGUGGGUAUCGAACAGGAUUAGAUACCCUAGUAGUC
This 460-nucleotide ribosomal RNA is filed under the name uncultured bacterium. Its description in RNAcentral is "partial 16S ribosomal RNA". It matches the Rfam family "Bacterial small subunit ribosomal RNA", at positions 338 to 795 of the family's 1533-position model. The record is from RNAcentral.